UGUGGAAGAACUCUUUUCUGAACUGGAUGC
This 30-nucleotide non-coding RNA is filed under the name Mus musculus (house mouse). The record is from RNAcentral. Lineage: Eukaryota; Metazoa; Chordata; Mammalia; Rodentia; Muridae.